This 776-nucleotide ribosomal RNA is filed under the name uncultured Neocallimastigales. Its description in RNAcentral is "partial large subunit ribosomal RNA". It matches the Rfam family "Eukaryotic large subunit ribosomal RNA", at positions 18 to 644 of the family's 3401-position model. Lineage: Eukaryota; Fungi; Neocallimastigomycota; Neocallimastigomycetes; Neocallimastigales. The record is from RNAcentral.
UUCAGACGAUGCGUCAUGCAUAUCAAUAAGCGGAGGAAAAGAAACUAACAAGGAUUCCCUUAGUAACGGCGAGUGAAGCGGGAAGAGCUCAAAUUUGAAAUCUUCAAGGUUUUACCUUGACGAAUUGUAGUUUAAAGAAGUGUUUUCUGCUGAAGUUUUGGUAAAAGUUCUUUGGAAUAGGACAUCAUAGAGGGUGAGAAUCCCGUAUUUGACCAUUAUUUUCAGCUUUGUGAUACACUUUCAAAGAGUCGGAUUGUUUGGGAAUGCAGUCCAAAAUGGGUGGUAAAUUUCAUCUAAAGCUAAAUAUUGGCGAGAGACCGAUAGCGAACAAGUACCGUGAGGGAAAGAUGAAAAGAACUUUGAAAAGAGAGUUAAACAGUACGUGAAAUUGUCAAAAGGGAAGCGUUUGACACCAGUGUUGUUUUCUCGAAAAUCAAUUAAAAAUGGCUCGAUUUUGUAUUGCUUGAGACCUUAAAAGCUCACUGUACAUUUUUCGUGUCUUUUUUAAUGCACUUUUCGUUUAACAAGUCAACAUCAGUUUCUUUUGUUGUAAAAGGGUCAUUGGAAGGUGGCUUUCUUUUCGGAGAAAGUGUUUAUAGCCUUUGGCCUCUGCAAUCGGAGAGACUGAGGUCUGCAGCGUAGACUCUUCGGGGUUAGAUACAUUUGUGCUAAGUUAUAGCUUUUUAUAGACAACUUGUUGACUAUAAUUAGUCUUGUAGCUUACUCGCUUAUGCUAUUUUACCUACGCUUAGGAUGUUGACUGAUAUGUAGUCGUA